UCCCUAGUGGUCCAGUGGUUAGGACUCUUGAGUUUUUACUACCAAGGCCCCAGGUUCAAUCCCUGGUUAGGGAA
This 74-nucleotide transfer RNA is filed under the name Bos taurus (domestic cattle). Its description in RNAcentral is "tRNA-Und (NNN) (tRNA-Und-NNN-2-1)". It matches the Rfam family "tRNA". Rfam says of the family: Transfer RNA (tRNA) molecules are approximately 80 nucleotides in length. Their secondary structure includes four short double-helical elements and three loops (D, anti-codon, and T loops). Lineage: Eukaryota; Metazoa; Chordata; Mammalia; Artiodactyla; Bovidae. The record is from RNAcentral.